CGAGAGGACUGGGAAGCUUGCUUCCUAUGAAAUCGAGUGGCAAACGGGUGAGUAACGCGUAAACAACCUGCCCUUCGGAUGGGGAUAACAGCCGGAAACGGCUGCUAAUACCGAAUACGAUCUUUUCGUCGCAUGACGGAAAGAAGAAAGGAUGGCCUCUAUACAAAGCUAUCGCCGAAGGAGGGGUUUGCGUCUGAUUAGCUGGUUGGAGGGGUAACGGCCCAACAAGGCGAUGAUCAGUAGCCGGUCUGAGAGGAUGAACGGCCACAUUGGGACUGAGACACGGCCCAGACUCCUACGGGAGGCAGCAGUGGGGAAUCUUCCGCAAUGGACGAAAGUCUGACGGAGCAACGCCGCGUGAGUGAAGAAGGUCUUCGGAUUGUAAAGCUCUGUUAUACGGGACGAAAAAGACGGAUGCCAACAGUAUCCGUCCGUGACGGUACCGUAAGAGAAAGCCACGGCUAACUACGUGCCAGCAGCCGCGGUAAUACGUAGGUGGCAAGCGUUGUCCGGAAUUAUUGGGCGUAAAGGGCGCGCAGGCGGUUCGGUAAGUCUGUCCUAAAAGUGCGGGGCUUAACCCCGUGAGGGGACGGACACUGUCGAACUUGAGUGUCGGAGAGGAAAGCGGAAUUCCUAGUGUAGCGGUGAAAUGCGUAGAUAUUAGGAGGAACACCG
This 675-nucleotide ribosomal RNA is filed under the name uncultured bacterium. RNAcentral's name for it is "bacterial SSU rRNA". It matches the Rfam family "Bacterial small subunit ribosomal RNA", at positions 63 to 711 of the family's 1533-position model. The record is from RNAcentral.